Non-coding RNA from Thamnophis sirtalis, 1028 nucleotides. Lineage: Eukaryota; Metazoa; Chordata; Lepidosauria; Squamata; Natricidae. The record is from the annotation of a RefSeq genome assembly.
CUAUCCCCAGCAGCUGCAGUAGCAGCACCAGGCUGAGAUGGCCAAGAUACCUCUUCAUUCCAGCUCUGGGCUCCUUGGACUCCGCUUCUCCCAUGUCCUCUUUGCCGUCUGGUGUGCCUUUGUGGGCAGUGGCUCUGCUGUGGAAGUGAUCCAGACUCCAAGCUUUGCCCAUAACUCAUCAGGGCAAAGUAUUACCAUGAGCUGCUCUGUGAAUGAAGCAGGCUACAAAUUUUUUUGGUAUCAACAAUUGCCUGGGAAGACAGAACUGACAGCCCUCGGGUACCUCUCCAGUUUUGACAAAGACCUUCAAGAGAGACAUAAGGAUUGGCAGAAUCGUCUAGAAGCAAAGUGGGAAGGCUCAAAAAACCAGGAGAUGCGUUUGGAUCUGUUAAAUCUUCAGGCGAGUGACACAGGCUUCUACCUCUGUGCUGCCGUGUACACGGUGAAUGAGGUAGGAACUGAGACUGGUACAAAACUGAGUAUCAGAAUAAGCUCCCCCGUCCCCAGCUUUUCUUAAUUUCUUCUGAUAUCAUCUCCAUGCAGAUUCAGACUCUGGAAACCUCAACUCCACCCAUCGUCUCCAAUCAUAGUCUCUCCGGAUGAACAAGACUAUAACUUCCAAGCUGGUUAGGGACAAUGGGAGUUGUGCUCCAAAGCAUCCAGUAGACAUCUGGUUGAGGAGGAUCCACACACUGAGGACACCCAAGCAGCCUAACACAAAUUCAUUUGCAUUGUGCUAACAUUAGCUCAAAACCAUUCUAUAAAAAUUCCAUGGUAUGAAAUAUAACAUCAGUUCCCACCUUAUUCCAAGCAAUAAUGUAUGUGUGGGGGUGUUUCCUGACAGUGUAUGGUGAAUUCAGUCCCUAUGGUUCUUAUAGGUUAGCAUAUUAAUGGUGGUUUUUCAAUAUAUCAUGAUUAAAUACACAAAACGUAUAUUAUAUGUACAGCUGGUCACCAAACACCUAUUUUGUUCUUGAAUAUGAUGAUGGGCAAAGAAUAGAAUAUAAUAGAAUAGAAUAGAAUAGAAU